GAUGAACGCUGGCGGCGUGCCUAAUACAUGCAAGUCGAGCGAACAGACGAGGAGCUUGCUCCUCUGACGUUAGCGGCGGACGGGUGAGUAACACGUGGAUAACCUACCUAUUAGACUGGGAUAACUUCGGGAAACCGGAGCUAAUACCGGAUAAUAUAUUGAACCGCAUGGUUCAAUAGUGAAAGACGGUUUUGCUGUCACUUAUAGAUGGAUCCGCGCCGCAUUAGCUAGUUGGUAAGGUAACGGCUUACCAAGGCGACGAUGCGUAGCCGACCUGAGAGGAUGAUCGGCCACACUGGAACUGAGACACGGUCCAGACUCCUACGGGAGGCAGCAGUAGGGAAUCUUCCGCAAUGGGCGAAAGCCUGACGGAGCAACGCCGCGUGAGUGAUGAAGGUCUUCGGAUCGUAAAACUCUGUUAUUAGGGAAGAACAAAUGUGUAAGUAACUAUGCACGUCUUGACGGUACCUAAUCAGAAAGCCACGGCUAACUACGUG
Molecule: ribosomal RNA, 497 nt
Filed under: uncultured bacterium
Lineage: Bacteria
Description: partial 16S ribosomal RNA
Rfam family: Bacterial small subunit ribosomal RNA
Source: RNAcentral